CCUACGGGAUGCAGCAGUCGAGAAUCAUUCACAAUGGGGGAAACCCUGAUGGUGCGACGCCGCGUGGGGGAAUGAAGGUCUUCGGAUUGUAAACCCCUGUCAUGUGGGAGCAAAUUAAAAAGAUAGUACCACAAGAGGAAGAGACGGCUAACUCUGUGCCAGCAGCCGCGGUAAUACAGAGGUCUCAAGCGUUGUUCGGAAUCACUGGGCGUAAGGCGUGCGUAGGCUGUUUCGUAAGUCGUGUGUGAAAGGCGCGGGCUCAAGCCGCGGACGGCACAUGAUACUGCGAGACUAGAGUAAUGGAGGGGGAACCGGAAGUCUCGGUGUAGCAGUGAAAUGCGUAGAUAUUGAGAGGAACACUCGUGGCGAAGGCGGGUUCCUGGACAUUAACUGACGCUGAGGCACGAAGGCCAGGGGAGCGAAAGGGAUUAGAUACCCGAGUAGUC
RNAcentral lists this ribosomal RNA (446 nucleotides) under uncultured bacterium. Its description in RNAcentral is "partial 16S ribosomal RNA". It matches the Rfam family "Bacterial small subunit ribosomal RNA", at positions 338 to 795 of the family's 1533-position model. The record is from RNAcentral.